CUUGACGGAGCCGAGCAGCAGCGGGGCGUCGGCGUGACGGCCCUGGCCGUAGGUGGCGAGCAGCGCGGUCGCCUC
This 75-nucleotide non-coding RNA is filed under the name Streptomyces sp. MMG1121. The record is from RNAcentral. Lineage: Bacteria; Bacillati; Actinomycetota; Actinomycetes; Kitasatosporales; Streptomycetaceae.